Molecule: RNA transcript, 2555 nt
Organism: Neocloeon triangulifer
Lineage: Eukaryota; Metazoa; Arthropoda; Insecta; Ephemeroptera; Baetidae
Gene: sra
Gene name: protein sarah
Exons: 6
Source: RefSeq, a predicted model, not a curated record
GGGCACAAAGGGGCGUGGCUGUCAAUAAACAAAAGGGUCUCCUCUUCGCUGCAAGACGUUGCGUGCGGGGUCGGCGUUGACAAUCGGGGCCGAUGGUGUUGUAGGCGACUUGUCGGCAACUCACAGAUGGCGGGCGAAGAGUCGGCAUCGGCCAUGGAAGCCGACAUCAUCAUCAACGCAGCCGACGGCCUGCCAAACGCGCACCCCAACUUUGAGCAGCACGACCAGGAAGACGUCCUAGGCGUCGACAACGUCAUCCACGACGACGAGCUGCCUAACUCGCUCAUUGUGACUAAUCUCAACUCGCAGGUUUUCAAGAGCGACGAAGAAAAGCACAUCAUCGAGAGCCUAUUCAAUCAGUAUGGAGAAACGGUCUCGUUCCAGUACUUCCGCAGUUUCUGCAGGAUGAGGGUCAACUUCAAAAGUCCAGCGUCAGCAGCGAGGGCGCGCAUUGAAUUGCACCAGGCCAAGGUGGGCUGCAGCACCAUCAACUGCUACUUUGCACAGCCGGUGUCGCCAAUCGACCUAGAGGAUCAGCACCUGCAGCCUCCUGCGCUGACCAAACAGUUCCUGAUCUCACCCCCUGCGUCGCCCCCGUAUGGUUGGGAGCAAAAAGGCGAAUCUGACCCCUUGGUCAACUAUGACUUGCUUGCUGCCAUUGCAAAUCUCUCUCCGGGCGAGACACAUGAACUGCACCCGCCCUCAGGUGGCCAGCCAGGCAUAGUGGUGCACAUUUGUGAAGAAACGGCUGCAGCUGCCGAAAGUGGAGCCCCUCGACAGCAAAUCCAACACACACGGUGCCCAGACACCUAGUCCAGUAGCUGUUGAUUGAUCCCUGUAUUAUUAUUGUGUGUUGAAAAUGCAUCUAGUUGUUAAAGCCUGUUACUGCCUUGGUGAACAUAAGAUCACACCCCCCAGAGAAAAGCCACCCCCAACAACAGGGUUAGGUUGGCAGUCCUAGCGACAGAAAAGUGAGCGCAAGCAGCAGGCAGAUGUGUUGAGCCCAGCAGACGGCAGAUCAAUAAGUAUCAAAACAAGGAGCAGUCGCACGAAAUGAGGCGUUAAUUUUUUAAAGGAAAUAACAAAUUCUAAAAAUGGUGUGUCACAAGAAUUUGGUAUUUUUAUUUUCCCUUCUUGCAACUGCGGUUGCAUCCAUAAGCUUACCAGAAACUACCCCCGAAACUAACUGUGGACAGUCUUGCCUGCACCAAUUUAAUGAGAACGCGGUUGCUAGGUUGAGUGAUGCCUGUCAGAGAGGGUGUCGCUUCUACGAAUUGGUGAGCAGUGCCAAUGGAGAAGGAGGUAUUGAGGCUGUGCUCGAGGGCUUGGACUUGCAGCAGCACCUUCGUGUCAACACCACUAAAGAAACAUGUCAAUCUUCAUGCAUGGAAGCAUAUCGGCACACCAAAGAGCGAUACGCCUGUCAUCAGGGCUGUGCCCACAUGGCGCGUGAUACAGCCAGGGCCGAAGAGCGGUUGAGACAGGAAGUCCUGCAGGAGAGUGCCAGGGAUUUGGCAUCCUUGGGUCCGUUGUUAUCUUCGAUGCUUGGCCGAGCUCGAUUUGCCCUUCUAUUUUCAUCACAAGAGUCCAAGGACUCGGUUCUGCUUGUACAACAGCAGGAGCCUCCGAAACCUCCACGACACACUCCACAGCCUCCAUCAGAUAUUCUUGGAUGUCUCUCUAACAAGUACGGUCUGCCCAAAUGGUUCUUUGGCUUGCUGGGCUUGGCCACGGGCCUUUUGGCUGGGUGGCUCUGCUAUGAGCCAAUGAAAAUGGCAGCGAUUCUGGAGGAAAAAGAGGCUCUGUUGCUCCUCGAUGAAGAGGCUGAUGAUUUGCCAUCCAAGAAAGAGCCUGUGGCUUAAUUUAAUUGCCAUUUUAUAGAGCUUUCUGAAUUUGGGCUCUGGUAAUGAUGAAGUGAGACAGUUGCGAAUUCACCCUAAUGGGAAUUUUUGAUUAUUAGGGUUUAAAUAAUAUCAAAUAAUUCAGGGUUCUGUUGAAGCAUAUUAAAAUCCAAGAAAGGCUUUAUAGACUAGCUAGAUGUAGGAGGGCGUCAAUCUACUUCCAGCUAAAUUGUAAGCAGGCUCAGUAAUUUAAACAAAACGCAAGGAGAUUUGCUUGUCUCGAGGUUUCUCCUAUCCCCUUUAUUCAACAUUAAAUGUUUUAAAAAUGCUAAUGGUAUGCAUCUCCUGAUGUAAUGUUUUCCCUCUCACUCAACUUACCUAAUUUUGAUCUGUCUAUUCAUAGCCCUAGAAAAUAUAGAUAGGGAUAGAUUAGGCUGAAAUGAUUUCGCAAUUCCACAAAAUCAAUAGAUAUAGAGAAGAUAUUUUGGGGGGCUCCGCUUAUCUUCACUUAAAGAAUUACAUAUUGAAAAGGCAAGGUGUGAUUUUAACACCAAUAUUCAUUUAAAUAUUCAGAUACAUAUAUUUAUUCCGAAGUAUUGAUUUUUCGAUUUAAGGAAAAUAUCAACUAAUUUUGUGAUCUCAACAAUUAAAUUUAGUAUUCCUAUAUAGUGAUACUCAAGGCUUGUUUCAAAAUAAAAUUGUUGAUGUUAUCUG